This 518-nucleotide ribosomal RNA is filed under the name uncultured bacterium. RNAcentral's name for it is "bacterial SSU rRNA". It matches the Rfam family "Bacterial small subunit ribosomal RNA", at positions 8 to 518 of the family's 1533-position model. The record is from RNAcentral.
AGAGUUGAUCAUGGCUCAGAACGAACGCUGGCGGCGCGUUUAAGCAUGCAAGUCGAGCGGCAAGGGCCUUCGGGCCCCUAGAGCGGCGGACGGGUGAGUAACACGUGGACAAUCUGCCCCCCGGCCCGGGAUAGCCCAGGGAAACCUGGAUUAAUACCGGAUGAGACGGGACCUGCGAUGGCGGGAUCCGGGAAAGGCGCUACGGCGCCGCCGGGGGAUGAGUCUGCGUCCCAUUAGCUAGACGGCGGGGUAACGGCCCACCGUGGCGACGAUGGGUAGCCGGCCUGAGAGGGUGGACGGCCACAUUGGAACUGAGACACGGUCCAGACUCCUACGGGAGGCAGCAGCUGAGAAUCUUCCGCAAUGGGCGAAAGCCUGACGGAGCGACGCCGCGUGAACGAAGAAGGCCGUGAGGUUGUAAAGUUCUUUUCGGGAGGAGGAACAACCGUGGCAGGGAAUGGCCGCGGGAUGACGUGAAUCCCGGAAUAAGCCCCGGCUAACUACGUGCCAGCAGCUGC